AGAGUUUGAUCCUGGCUCAGGAUGAACGCUGGCGGCGUGCUUAACACAUGCAAGUCGAACGAGCCUUCGGGCUAGUGGCGGACGGGUGAGUAACGCGUGAGAAUCUGCCCUCAGGAGGGGGAUAACGGCUGGAAACGGCCGCUAAUACCCCAUAUGCCGCGAGGUGAAACGAGUUUUCGCCUGAGGAUGAGCUCGCGUCUGAUUAGCUAGUUGGUGGGGUAAGAGCCUACCAAGGCAUCGAUCAGUAGCUGGUCUGAGAGGAUGAUCAGCCACACUGGGACUGAGACACGGCCCAGACUCCUACGGGAGGCAGCAGUGGGGAAUUUUCCGCAAUGGGCGCAAGCCUGACGGAGCAACGCCGCGUGAGGGAUGAAGGCCUCUGGGCUGUAAACCUCUUUUCUCAAGGAAGAAGAACUGACGGUACUUGAGGAAUAAGCCACGGCUAAUUCCGUGCCAGCAGCCGCGGUAAUACGGGAGUGGCAAGCGUUAUCCGGAAUUAUUGGGCGUAAAGCGUCCGCAGGCGGUCUUGAAAGUCUGUUGUUAAAGCGUGGAGCUCAACUCCAUUUCAGCAAUGGAAACUAGAAGACUAGAGUGUGGUAGGGGCAGAGGGAAUUCCCGGUGUAGCGGUGAAAUGCGUAGAUAUCGGGAAGAACACCAGUGGCGAAGGCGCUCUGCUGGGCCAUAACUGACGCUCAUGGACGAAAGCCAGGGGAGCGAAAGGGAUUAGAUACCCCUGUAGUCCUGGCCGUAAACGAUGAACACUAGGUGUCGGGGGAAUCGACCCCCUCGGUGUCGUAGCUAACGCGUUAAGUGUUCCGCCUGGGGAGUACGCACGCAAGUGUGAAACUCAAAGGAAUUGACGGGGGCCCGCACAAGCGGUGGAGUAUGUGGUUUAAUUCGAUGCAACGCGAAGAACCUUACCAGGGUUUGACAUCCUGCGAAUCUUUUGGAAACAGAAGAGUGCCUUCGGGAGCGCAGAGACAGGUGGUGCAUGGCUGUCGUCAGCUCGUGUCGUGAGAUGUUGGGUUAAGUCCCGCAACGAGCGCAACCCACGUCUUUAGUUGCCAGCAUUAAGUUGGGCACUCUAGAGAGACCGCCGGUGAUAAACCGGAGGAAGGUGUGGAUGACGUCAAGUCAUCAUGCCCCUUACAUCCUGGGCUACACACGUACUACAAUGCUACGGACAAAGGGCAGCAAACUCGCGAGAGCUAGCAAAUCCCAUAAACCGUGGCUCAGUUCAGAUCGUAGGCUGCAACUCGCCUACGUGAAGGAGGAAUCGCUAGUAAUCGCAGGUCAGCAUACUGCGGUGAAUACGUUCCCGGGCCUUGUACACACCGCCCGUCACACCAUGGAAGUUGGCCAUGCCCGAAGUCGUUACUCCAACGC
This 1386-nucleotide ribosomal RNA is filed under the name metagenome. RNAcentral describes it as "bacterial SSU rRNA". It matches the Rfam family "Bacterial small subunit ribosomal RNA". The record is from RNAcentral.